CCUACGGGAGGCAGCAGUGGGGAAUAUUGCACAAUGGGGGAAACCCUGAUGCAGCAACGCCGCGUGAAUGGGGAAGUAUUUCGAUAUGUAACGCUCUAUCCGCAGGGAUUAGAAACGCAGUUACCUGAAAAAGACGCACCGGCUAACUACGUGCCAGCAGCCGAGGUAAUACGUAGGGGGCAAGCGUUAUCCGGAUUUACUGGGUGUACAGGGAGCGUAGACGGAAAGGCAAGUCAGAAGUGAAAGCCCAAGGCUCAACCCUGGGCCUACUUUUGAAACUGUCAAACUAGAGUACGGGAGAGGUAAGAGGAAUUCCUAGUGUAGCGGUGAAAUGCGUAGAUAUUAGGAGGAACACCAGUGGCGAAGGCGUCUUACUGGACCGAAACUGACGUUGAGGCUCGAAAGCGUGGGGAGCAAACAGGAUUAGAUACCCUAGUAGUC
RNAcentral lists this ribosomal RNA (441 nucleotides) under uncultured bacterium. RNAcentral's name for it is "partial 16S ribosomal RNA". It matches the Rfam family "Bacterial small subunit ribosomal RNA", at positions 338 to 795 of the family's 1533-position model. The record is from RNAcentral.